UACGUAGGUGGCAAGCGUUAUCCGGAUUUAUUGGGCGUAAAGGGAAUGCAGGCGGUCCUUUAAGUCUGAUGUGAAAGCCUUCGGCUUAACCGGAGUAGUGCAUUGGAAACUGGGAGACUUGAGUGCAGAAGAGGAGAGUGGAACUCCAUGUGUAGCGGUGAAAUGCGUAGAUAUAUGGAAGAACACCAGUGGCGAAAGCGGCUCUCUGGUCUGUAACUGUCGCUGAGGUUCGAAAGCGUGGGUAGCAAACAGG
Molecule: ribosomal RNA, 253 nt
Filed under: uncultured bacterium
Lineage: Bacteria
Description: partial 16S ribosomal RNA
Rfam family: Bacterial small subunit ribosomal RNA
Source: RNAcentral